CCCUAGGGAAACAGAACAGAAUUAGGGACAUAAAAUCUCAAGAAGUUUCACUAAAAGACAUUCCUCUGUGACUCCAAUAACAAACUGGACUGAAGAGAGAUCUCAGGGAA
Leptonychotes weddellii (Weddell seal) is the source of this 110-nucleotide non-coding RNA. The record is from RefSeq and is a predicted model, not a curated record. Lineage: Eukaryota; Metazoa; Chordata; Mammalia; Carnivora; Phocidae.